CCCAAUCACUCUCACUUAACUUCUUCACUCACCUUGUUCUCUCACAAAACCCUAAUUCUCCUUCACUCUCAUAUGUCCACGGCGUAGUUCAAUUCCCCUCGCUCAUAGAAUGUCGCUCCACGGUAACGACCGUCGCGACGAGCCUUCUAUGGGAAGCGCCGGCGCAAACGGCACCGUGGCGGCGGCGAGCCUGAGGCUGCGGCUGAACCCUAACAAGGAGCACAAGCCUGAAGGUUACGAGGACAUGGAACUGGAUUUCAGCCCUAACAUUUUCAGCUCCUUGGAGAGGUACCUCCCUCCGAGCAUGCUCAAUGUGGCACGAGUCGACAAGGCCAAAUUCAUGCGCGAUAUUCUCCUCAAGUAUCUCCCCCUCGGAGAACGCAACAGGGCUCAAAAGCAUAAAGAAUACAGACAGAAGAUAAUAGCAAAUUACCAGCCUCUACAUCGAGAGUUGUACUCUGUGAAUCCUGCUACAUUCUUUGUCCCCUCAUUUCUGAAAGCAAUUAAUGAUAAUACAGAGCAAAGCUUUAGAAGUAUCAUGUCUGAGCCCGCUCCAGGAAUUUUUGUAUUUGACAUAUUUCAGCCUGACUUUUGCGAGUUAUUGCUAUCUGAGAUUGAAAAUUUUGAGAAGUGGGUGACUGAAACAAAAUUUCGGAUCAUGCGUCCCAAUACAAUGAAUAAAUAUGGUGCUGUACUUGAUGACUUUGGGCUUGAAACAAUGCUUGACAAGCUUAUGGAAGGAUUUAUACGUCCCUUAUCUAAAGUCUUCUUUGCAGAAGUUGGUGGGUCAACCCUGGAUUCCCAUCAUGGUUUUGUUGUAGAGUAUGGUAAAGAUAGAGAUGUUGACUUGGGUUUCCAUGUGGAUGACUCAGAAGUAACCUUAAAUGUUUGCUUGGGUAAGCAAUUUUCUGGAGGGGAAUUGUUUUUUCGGGGCGUACGAUGUGAGAAACAUGUAAAUACUGGAAGUCAUUCAGAGGAGAUCUUUGAUUAUUGUCAUGUCCCUGGACGAGCUGUGCUUCAUCGGGGUCGCCAUCGCCAUGGUGCUAGAGCUACAACAUCUGGUCAUCGGGUCAACCUGCUUCUGUGGUGCAGAAGUUCUGUCUUUAGAGAGAUGAAACGGUACCAAAAAGAUUUCUCCGGCUGGUGUGGCGAGUGCAAUCGCGAGAAAAAGGAAAGGCAACGCACCACAAUUGCUGCUACCAGAUUGGAGUUGUUCAAGAAGGAAGAAUCCACUGCAUAAUCUGUUUUUGCUCAGUGGAUGAUUGUAAAAUCCGAUGUAUCUGCAAUCAUUUGUCAACAAGUAGCCUAUGAUUCCUGGUCCAGGUGUCCGUACAAGUUAUAUGCUGUAUUAAGAUAUUUUUCUUUGAAUAAGCUUGGUUAUGCCUAUUUAUUGUCUUUGAAGAAGGGGGGAGGUGGUUGUGUUAUGUAGGCUGGUUAAAUGCUCAUAUAGGCCAUUCCCCCCCCCCCAUUUUGUUUAUAAAACGGCAUAAUUAUGUCUAGAAAUGUAGAUUUAGACUGUAAUUAAUAUCUGCUGAAAUCUUUAGGUUCAUUGGCUAUUGUAGCA
This is a non-coding RNA of Cajanus cajan (pigeon pea), 1564 nucleotides long. Lineage: Eukaryota; Viridiplantae; Streptophyta; Magnoliopsida; Fabales; Fabaceae. The record is from RefSeq and is a predicted model, not a curated record.